CAGCGAGCUGCCUCCUGCUUUGGUGGAGAAGGACAGGAUGCAAGAUCAGCUCCCAGUGCAGCCUCAGUGAGACGGCUAGAGUAGGCAUUAUCUGCAGAGUCAUCAGUUAAAUAUGCCAGAUGAAGAGAUUGUGAUGAUGGAGAACACUUGCUGGAUCAAAACCAGGAAUGAAAGCAUGCUCCUCACAUUGAAACAAUUGCCACAUCAGUAAUUUUUAGACUUCUACUUGCGAUAUUUG
This is a non-coding RNA of Manis javanica (Malayan pangolin), 238 nucleotides long. NCBI's taxonomy places the organism in Eukaryota, Metazoa, Chordata, Mammalia, Pholidota, Manidae. The record is from RefSeq and is a predicted model, not a curated record.